UGUUGCAUCCCAAAUGGCACCCUAUUUACUAGUAGCCUACACUACUUUAGAACAGAGCCCUAUGGGCCCUGGGUGGCAUUUGGGAUUCAUUUGAUGUGUUAUUGUGUUGUAAAUCUGUUCCAGGAUAAUUUUUGAUGAGGGGCUGCCGUGGACCAGCUUCUCCUUGGUGCCUCUGUUCGUGGACGGGAUGCUGGCAGAGGCCGGGACAGAGAACCAGAUCAUGACAAUGUGGAAACCACUACAAGAAACAUCAGGGAGUUAUUUUUGUUUUGUUGGUGAUGCCGGGCUUGGAUUCCGGCGCCGAUGGAACCGGGGGUGCCUAAGCUGGAUCGUCGGGCCGUCAGGCCCAAGCUGGCUCGAGAGGUUUCCUUGCCUCGGUUGGCUCGGCAGGUUCCCAUCCCACGUCAUGCCUCGGCCGGCCCAUGGGGUUUCUACGCCGCAGUGCAUGGUAUCUGAAGCAAUUGGCUUACGAAAUCUAUGGAUAGUAGCCCAUAAUUGCAUCUAUCAAACAGGGCGAGCCGUGUGUGAUGGGCCAGAAACAGAAAAUAUCAAACGCAGACUAGGAAACUAUUGCAUGCUGGGAAAAGACUACACCGAAGUCCUCUCUGCUGAGUCGAGUAUCUGUCGGGCCCAGGACUUUGAAUGGUACUUAUAGUAUACUAGUAUAAUAACUCACAAUUUGCAGUAUAAUAUGACACAUGAACACAUGUCCUAGAACAUCUUAUCACAAAUGAUUUAUUUUUCAAACCUAAACAUGACUAGUUAAACAGAAGUUCAGCAUUCAUUGUCCAUAAAAGAGUUGUAUGACACUUUGUAUAUGUUCUCCCAUUUAAGCAAAUUUUGGAUUUAAUACUGUCAUGACUCCCACCGAAGUCGGUCCCUCUCCUUGUUCGGGCGGCGUUCGGCGGUCGACGUCACCGGUCUUCUAGCCAUCGCCACUCCACCUUUCAUUUUCCAUUUGUUUUGUCUUGUUUUCCCGCACACCUUUUCCCUCAUUACUCUACGUGUAGAUUAUCCUCUGUUCCUCCCCAUGUCUGUGUGUGGUUUUGUUCGUUCGUUACAUCUAUGACGCUACAGGCUGGUUUUGCGCCGGGUAUUGUUAUCCCGUGGUUUUGUUAUUUUGUACAAUGUUGUGUGAUUUUGUGCACUAUCGCUUGUUCCUUGGGCCAGAGUGUUGACGCAGUUGCGUCCGGCUGUUUUCCUCUGCCCGAUUAAAGUGUUUCUGUUCACUCAUCUCUGCUCUCCUGCACCUGACUUCCUUUGACCAGUUGCGCACACUCUGACAAAACAUAUUUCAGGAUCCCAUUCAUUUGGUUCAUUUUCGGUUCAUUUUCGGUGUCAGUGCUCUCUCUGUUUUUAAUCUUCUAAAGGCAGGGAAGAGAAAAGCAAAGAUACAUUUGUAUAUAAAUGCCAGCGGUGUCAGGUCAGACUGUAUGAGUUUCAAUUAGAAUCCAUUGACUCCUGUGAUAGUUGUUUUAAAUUAUUUUGGUACUGAAAUUAUUAUUUGAUAAAUUUCCUUCCUUUACUACAUGGCUUGUCUCUCUCUCUCUCUCUCUCUCUCUCUCUCUCUUGCUCUACAGCUGGUGAUAGAGACAUUGAAAUUAAAAAAUUAAAAACAAUCUCUCUGAGAAACGUUCC
This is a non-coding RNA of Oncorhynchus mykiss (rainbow trout), 1638 nucleotides long. NCBI's taxonomy places the organism in Eukaryota, Metazoa, Chordata, Actinopteri, Salmoniformes, Salmonidae. The record is from RefSeq and is a predicted model, not a curated record.